UGUGCAUCACUGUGCCCAGCCAUCCUUAUCUUUUUUUUAAAAUAUUUUUAGUUGUAGUUGGACACAAUACCUUUUAUUUAUUUAUUCAUUCAUUCUUAUGUGGUGCUGAGGAUCGAACCCAGCUCCUCACACAUGCUAGGUGAGCGCUCUACCACUGAGCCACAACCUCAGCCCCCAUCCUUAUCUUUUUGAUCCAUCAGUAGCAUCUAUCACAUCUGAUUACUUUCACCUCCUGAACUACUUUCUUCACUUGAUUUCCCAGACUUAGCACUUCGAUUAUCUUUUCUUUAAAAUAUUUUUUUUUAGUUGUUAAUUGGACCUUUAUUUUAUUUAUUUAUAUGUGGUACUGAGAAUCGAACCCAGUGCUUCACACAUGCUAGGCAAGCACUCUACCACUGAGCUGUACAACUCCAGCCCUUCCUUGUCUUUUCCUCUCAGUGCUGCUUUCCAAUCUCAUGAGCUAGUUUCUCCUUGUCUCUUUGACCUCUCUAUUUCCUAGUGUCUCAGAGCUCAGUCUUCAAAACUUUCUUUUAUCUACUACUUCUCUUUUUGUGGCCUCACCCACCGUCAUACUGUAAGGCAUAUCUAUAUGCUAAAAGAGUUUACAUUUUUUUAUUUCCCACCUGGAUUUCUCCCCUGAACUCUGCUAUCUGUCCAACUGCCUAUUUAGCAUCUCCACUAAGAUAUUUAAUAGCAUCUCAAACUUCACACGAACAGAACAGAGAUCCCAGUUCUGCUUAACUUCCUCUUGCAGUCUUUCCCAUUUCAGUAAGUGGCAUCUCAGAUUUUCCAUUGCUCAGGUAAAACCCCAAAGUCAUCUUGAAUACCUUUUCCUCUCACAUCUCACAUUCCAUCUUUCAACAAUGCUUGUUGGUCUUGGACAUAUUUUUAGAAUCCAAUCACUUCUCACCGCAGUCAGUGGUCCUAUUAUCUCUUGCCACAGUUGUUGUAGUGGCCUCCUAACUGGUCUCCCUGAAUUCAUCUCAGAUCCCCUAAAGUUUGUUUUAUUGAUUUAUUGAAGUACUAGGGAUUGAACCCAGGGGUAUUCUACCACUUAGCUCUACCCCCAGCCUUUUUUUAUUUUAUUUUGAGACUGUGUCUCACUAAGUUGUCCAGGCCAGUCUUGAACUUGUGAUCCCCCUAUCUCAGCCUCCUGAAUAGCUGAGAUUACAGAUGAGCACCACCAUGCCCAGGCAUAGAAUUUAUUUUUAACACAAAACCAGUUCUCUUUUUAACUAUAAGCCAGAUCACAUCACUCCGCUGCCCAAAAUCCUGCAACAGGUUUUAUUUCACUCAUAAUGAAGACCUGAGAGUCCCUCUGGGCCUGUCACUCUUACCUUCUAUCUUGCUCAUUCUGCUCCAGCCUGCCAACUGGUAGCUUCUACUCCCACCUUGGGGCCUUUGCACUUGCUGUUGCUUUGGCUGUGAAAGCUGUCUUCCAAAGUAUCUGCCUGGGUCUCUGCUAAAAUGUCACCUUUACAGGGUCUACAUCUCCCUUGGCUAUCCUAUAUGCAAUUACAACUCUCCUUACCUUAGCAAUUUCUAUAUCCCUAUAUGGCUUUAUUUUUCCCUUUAGCACUCAGCACCACCUGAUACACUAAUGCCUACUUCAUUUAUCUAAUUGUAUUGACCAGCUUUCCCAAACUAGAAUGUAGACUCCUUCAAGGCCAGGCACUCUGUGAGUUCACUGUUGUGUCUGACUAGGAUGGUUUCUGGCACACAGUAUGCAUUCCAUAAACAUCUGUCUUGUGAAUUAGUGAAUGGACUCUAUCCCCAGGAUUCUUUCUGGUAUCCAACAUAAAUAUUCAAAUGCAUAUUGGACGGCUCCAUGUUGAAAUGAAAAUUCAACAUGUCCCAAAUGGAACUCAGUAUUUUUCUGACCCCAGCUCGAACCUGCUGUUCCUCCUGAGUCCCCGUCUCAACACAGCCACAACCAUCCUUUCAACUGUGCAAGCAGAAACAGAAUCCUCUCUGACAACCUCUUUUCCUCACCCCAACAUUUCAUCAAGCACCAAGUUUUGUUGAUUUUAUUCUUAAAAUUCCAUGAACAUGUUAAAUGCUGACUUCUUUUCUUUUCAAUCUACAUUUUUGUCCAUAUCACCACCUUCAGUGUCCUAAGGAGAUGCCCUGCCUCCUCUCUGGUCACAAGAGUGAAUUCUAGUCUUACCUCGUUUUUCUCCCUGAAACACCUCAAGGGCUCACAUAAUCCCCAUAUAACGCAAUGUUCAAGCAUUUUCAUGACCUAUUUUGUUUGUUUGUUUGUUUCUGCCUAACUUUGUUAACUUUUUCUUUGGAGAGAUUUUUCAGGUGACAUUUGCUCUGACUGAAAUGUUCUUUCCAUCCCUUGGUAUGGCUGCCAUUCACUAUUCUCCAGGCCUCAACUGAGAUGUUACUUCUAAACCUGCUCUGAUGCGCCAAUGCUUUCAGAGCACCAUGCCCUUCCCUCACCAUAACCCUGACCAUACCAUGUUAUAACUCAUCUUUACUUGUCCUUAAGCUCUGGACAGAAACGAGUACAAAAGGCCUGUUGAGUCUUUGCAUGUUUAACCCAAUCUUGAUUUCUGCUUUUCAGAGGACCUGAACUCAUACGAACAGAAACUUCUGCUUUUACCUCAAUUGAUAUUUAAGCUUUCUGACACAGAAUAAUAGCAGGUUCCCAUUUCUGAGGAUGAACUUACCCAAUUCCUGAGUUUUUCUUUCCUUCCUUCCUCCCUCCCUCCCUCCCUCCCUUCCUUCCUUCCUUCUCUUUCUUUUUUUUCCUGGUGGUCCAACACUGAGCUACCUUCCCAGUCCUUUUUAUUCUAUUUUGAGACAGGGUCUCACUAAGUUGCUGACCAUGUAUGAACUUGUGAUCUUCCUGCUUCAGCUUCCUGAGUAGCUGGAAUUACAGGUGUGUACCACUAUGUCCAACAAGUUUUAUAUAUAAUUUGUAAAUGGACAAAAUACCUUUAUUUUAAUAUGGUGCGAGGAUCGAACCCAGGGCCUCACAGAUGUUAGGCAAGAGCUCUACCACUGAGCUACAACCACAGCUUGAGUUUUCUGUUUUCAAGCCAAAUUUUCCCUCCAUAAAUGCUCAUCCUUCUAUUUCAUAUGGAAAAGGAACAAGCAGCUGAUUUAAUUUACAAUAGUUUCAAAUUCAUAGUGCAACACAAAAAGAAUGGAGGCUCUGUGAUAGCUUUGCUAACAUGGUUUGUUUGUUUAUUUGAUAUUGGGGAUUGAACCAGAGGUGUGCUACCACUUAGCUACGUAGCCAGAUCUUUUUAUUUUUGAUUCUGAGACAGGCUCUCAGUAAGUUUUUGAGGAUGGCCUUGAACUUUUA
Molecule: long non-coding RNA, 3319 nt
Filed under: Marmota monax (woodchuck)
Lineage: Eukaryota; Metazoa; Chordata; Mammalia; Rodentia; Sciuridae
Source: RNAcentral